RNAcentral lists this ribosomal RNA (707 nucleotides) under Abortiporus biennis. Its description in RNAcentral is "LSU rRNA". It matches the Rfam family "Eukaryotic large subunit ribosomal RNA", at positions 229 to 928 of the family's 3401-position model. Lineage: Eukaryota; Fungi; Basidiomycota; Agaricomycetes; Polyporales; Podoscyphaceae. The record is from RNAcentral.
CGGACUACCAGUGCUUUGUGAUGCGCUCUCAAAGAGUCGAGUUGUUUGGGAAUGCAGCUCAAAAAUGGGUGGUAAAUUCCAUCUAAAGCUAAAUAUUGGCGAGAGACCGAUAGCGAACAAGUACCGUGAGGGAAAGAUGAAAAGCACUUUGGAAAGAGAGUUAAACAGUACGUGAAAUUGCUGAAAGGGAAACGCUUGAAGUCAGUCACGUUGGUCAGAACUCAGCCUGGCUUUUGCUUGGUGCAUUUUCUGAUUAACGGGCCAGCAUCAAUUUUGACCAUUGGAAAAAUUCUUUGGGAAUGUGGCUCCUCCGGGAGUGUUAUAGCCCAAGGUUGUAUACAGUGGUUGGGAUUGAGGAACUCAGCACGCCUUUAUGGUCGGGGUUCGCCCACGCUCGUGCUUAGGAUGCUGGCGUAAUGGCUUUAAACGACCCGUCUUGAAACACGGACCAAGGAGUCUAACAUGCCUGCGAGUGUUUGGGUGGAAAACCCGAGCGCGUAAUGAAAGUGAAAGUUGGGAUCUCUGUCGUGGAGAGCACCGACGCCCAUACCAGACCUUCUGUGACGGAUAUGCGGUUGAGCAUGUAUGUUGGGACCCGAAAGAUGGUGAACUAUGCCUGAAUAGGGUGAAGCCAGAGGAAACUCUGGUGGAGGCUCGUAGCGAUUCUGACGUGCAAAUCGAUCGUCAAAUUUGGGUAUAGGGCGAAA